This 1397-nucleotide ribosomal RNA is filed under the name Rothia kristinae. RNAcentral's name for it is "bacterial SSU rRNA". It matches the Rfam family "Bacterial small subunit ribosomal RNA". The record is from RNAcentral. Lineage: Bacteria; Bacillati; Actinomycetota; Actinomycetes; Micrococcales; Micrococcaceae.
UGCAGUCGACGCUGAGUCUGGUGCUUGCACCGGGUGGAUGAGUGGCGAACGGGUGAGUAAUACGUGAGUGACCUGCCUUUGACUCUGGGAUAAGCCUGGGAAACUGGGUCUAAUACCGGAUGCGACUACUGCCCGCAUGGGCUGGUGGUGGAAAGGGUUAUGUACUGGUCUUAGAUGGGCUCACGGCCUAUCAGCUGGUUGGUGGGGUAAUGGCCUACCAAGGCGACGACGGGUAGCCGGCCUGAGAGGGUGACCGGCCACACUGGGACUGAGACACGGCCCAGACUCCUACGGGAGGCAGCAGUGGGGAAUAUUGCACAAUGGGCGCAAGCCUGAUGCAGCGACGCCGCGUGAGGGAUGACGGCCUUCGGGUUGUAAACCUCUUUCAGCAGGGAAGAAGCGGAAGUGACGGUACCUGCAGAAGAAGCGCCGGCUAACUACGUGCCAGCAGCCGCGGUAAUACGUAGGGCGCAGCGUUGUCCGGAAUUAUUGGGCGUAAAGAGCUCGUAGGCGGCUUGUCGCGUCUGCUGUGAAAGCCCGGGGCUUAACUCCGGGUGUGCAGUGGGUACGGGCAGGCUAGAGUGCAGUAGGGGUAACUGGAAUUCCUGGUGUAGCGGUGAAAUGCGCAGAUAUCAGGAGGAACACCGAUGGCGAAGGCAGGUUACUGGGCUGUUACUGACGCUGAGGAGCGAAAGCAUGGGGAGCGAACAGGAUUAGAUACCCUGGUAGUCCAUGCCGUAAACGUUGGGCACUAGGUGUGGGGGACAUUCCACGUUUUCCGCGCCGUAGCUAACGCAUUAAGUGCCCCGCCUGGGGAGUACGGCCGCAAGGCUAAAACUCAAAGGAAUUGACGGGGGCCCGCACAAGCGGCGGAGCAUGCGGAUUAAUUCGAUGCAACGCGAAGAACCUUACCAAGGCUUGACAUACACCGGAUCGUUCCAGAGAUGGUUCUUCCCUUUUGGGCUGGUGUACAGGUGGUGCAUGGUUGUCGUCAGCUCGUGUCGUGAGAUGUUGGGUUAAGUCCCGCAACGAGCGCAACCCUCGUUCUAUGUUGCCAGCACGUGAUGGUGGGGACUCAUAGGAGACUGCCGGGGUCAACUCGGAGGAAGGUGGGGAUGACGUCAAAUCAUCAUGCCCCUUAUGUCUUGGGCUUCACGCAUGCUACAAUGGCCGGUACAAUGGGUUGCGAUACUGUGAGGUGGAGCUAAUCCCAAAAAGCCGGUCUCAGUUCGGAUUGGGGUCUGCAACUCGACCCCAUGAAGUCGGAGUCGCUAGUAAUCGCAGAUCAGCAACGCUGCGGUGAAUACGUUCCCGGGCCUUGUACACACCGCCCGUCAAGUCACGAAAGUUGGUAACACCCGAAGCCGAUGGCCUAACCCUUGUGGAGGGAGUCGUCG